UACGGAGGGGGCUAGCGUUGUUCGGAAUUACUGGGCGUAAAGCGCACGUAGGCGGCUUUGUAAGUUAGAGGUGAAAGCCCGGGGCUCAACUCCGGAAUUGCCUUUAAGACUGCAUCGCUAGAAUUGUGGAGAGGUAAGUGGAAUUCCUAGUGUAGAGGUGAAAUUCGUAGAUAUUAGGAAGAACACCAGUGGCGAAGGCGGCUCACUGGAUCGGUACUGACGCUGAGGUGCGAAAGCGUGGGGAGCAAACAGG
This 253-nucleotide ribosomal RNA is filed under the name uncultured bacterium. Its description in RNAcentral is "partial 16S ribosomal RNA". It matches the Rfam family "Bacterial small subunit ribosomal RNA", at positions 524 to 776 of the family's 1533-position model. The record is from RNAcentral.